Molecule: ribosomal RNA, 501 nt
Filed under: uncultured bacterium
Lineage: Bacteria
Description: bacterial SSU rRNA
Rfam family: Bacterial small subunit ribosomal RNA
Source: RNAcentral
GAUGAACGCUGGCGGCGUGCCUAAUACAUGCAAGUCGGACGGAGCGCUUCGGCGCUCAGUGGCGAACGGGUGAGUAGCACAUGGGCAACCUGCCCUUCAGAGGGGGACAACAGCUGGAAACGGCUGCUAAGACCGCAUAGGCGCGGACGGGACAUCCCGUCCACGUUAAACGUCCUUUCGGGGACGGCUGAAGGAUGGGCCUGUGGCGCAUUAGCUUGUUGGCGGGGCAACGGCCCACCAAGGCGACGAUGCGUAGCCGGCCUGAGAGGGCGGACGGCCACACUGGGACUGAGACACGGCCCAGACUCCUACGGGAGGCAGCAGUAGGGAAUUUUCGGCAAUGGGGGGAACCCUGACCGAGCAACGCCGCGUGAACGAGGAAGGCCUUCGGGUCGUAAAGUUCUGUUGCGAAGGAAGAACGCCGGAGGGAGGAAAUGGCCUCCGGGUGACGGUACUUCGCGAGAAAGCCACGGCUAACUACGUGCCAGCAGCCGCGGUAAU